GUUUAGUUCAGUCCAGUCGGGAGAGCAUUAGACUCUUAAUCUCAGGGUUAUUGGUUUGAACCCCAUGUUGGGUG
Molecule: non-coding RNA, 74 nt
Organism: Podarcis lilfordi (Lilford's wall lizard)
Lineage: Eukaryota; Metazoa; Chordata; Lepidosauria; Squamata; Lacertidae
Source: the annotation of a GenBank genome assembly